UGUAGUGCGAGGAAUGGCCAUUUGGGGGUGGUCUCCAGCAAUGGAUUUGAUGAGAUUAGUUGGAUCCCAAAUAUCAGAGCUGCGACUGGACAUCGUUGUCUCACUGAUUCCAUAUAAGAUGGAGUUGGCAGAUCGAAACCCAUUUUUUUCUGGCAUUGCUUCCUGAUAGGCCGUGGGGGUGAAGAGUAUGAUCGCUCGGUCAAUGUGGUUUGCCAUGGUAAAUAUAAUUUAUA
Molecule: non-coding RNA, 233 nt
Organism: Erythranthe guttata (spotted monkey flower)
Lineage: Eukaryota; Viridiplantae; Streptophyta; Magnoliopsida; Lamiales; Phrymaceae
Source: RefSeq, a predicted model, not a curated record